Molecule: ribosomal RNA, 377 nt
Filed under: uncultured bacterium
Lineage: Bacteria
Description: bacterial SSU rRNA
Rfam family: Bacterial small subunit ribosomal RNA
Source: RNAcentral
UAAGACGAACCGUACAAACGUUAUUCGGAAUCACUGGGCUUAAAGGGUGCGUAGGCGGCGCUGUAAGUUGGGUGUGAAAUCCCUCGGCUCAACCGAGGAACUGCGCCCAAAACUACAGUGCUUGAGGGAGAUAGAGGUGAGCGGAACUUAGGGUGGAGCGGUGAAAUGCGUUGAUAUCCUAAGGAACGCCAGGGGCGAAAGCGGCUCACUGGGUCUCUUCUGACGCUGAGGCACGAAAGCUAGGGUAGCGAACGGGAUUAGAUACCCCGGUAGUCCUAGCCGUAAACGAUGAGCACUAGAUGGAAGGGUCCUCCAUAACCUUUCCAUCGAAGCGAAAGUAAUUAGUGCUCCGCCUGGGGAGUAUGGUCGCAAGGCUG